Molecule: unclassified non-coding RNA, 379 nt
Filed under: uncultured Lysobacteraceae bacterium
Lineage: Bacteria; Pseudomonadati; Pseudomonadota; Gammaproteobacteria; Lysobacterales; Lysobacteraceae
Description: uncultured Xanthomonadaceae bacterium contains 16S-23S intergenic spacer region
Source: RNAcentral
UCCGGUUUGGCACCGGCAGUCCUCCCAGAGUCCUCGGCAUGACCCGGUAGCAACUGGGAGCGGGGGUUGCGCUCGUUGCGGGACUUAACCCAACAUCUCACGACACGAGCUGACGACAGCCAUGCAGCACCUGUCUCCAGGUUCCCGAAGGCACCCCCACAUCUCUGCGGGGUUCCUGGGAUGUCAAGACCAGGUAAGGUUCUUCGCGUUGCAUCGAAUUAAACCGCAUGCUCCACCGCUUGUGCGAGCCCCCGUCAAUUCCUUUGAGUUUCAGUCUUGCGACCGUACUCCCCAGGCGGCGAACUUAACGCGUUAGCUUCGAUACUGCGUGCCAAAUUGCACCCAACAUCCAGUUCGCAUCGUUUAGGGCGUGGACUAC